ACUGUUUGGUGGUCUCUUUACACAGAUGCACGUGACAUUUGGUGCCGAAGACCCAGGAUAGGAGGACUCCUUUGGGAGACCGGUCCCCUGUCCUCGCCCUCACUCCAUAAGGAGAUCCACCUACAACCUCGGGUCCUCAGACCAACCAGCCCAAGCAACAUCUCACCAAUUUCAAAUUGGACCCUGUGCACAAAAGGAAGAGUGGCUUAUCACUGGGCCUCACACACAGGUGACCUAACUGUCAGGCCUCUGAGCCCAAGCUAAGCCAUGAUAUCCCCUGUGACCUGCAGGAAUACAUGCGGAUGGCCUGAAGCAAGUGAAGAAUCACAAAAGAAGUGAAAAUUGCUGGUUCCUGCCUUAACUGAUGACAUUCCACCAUUGUGAUUUGUUCCUGCCCCACCUUAACUGAGCCAUUAAUGUUGUGAAAUUCCUUCUCCUGGCUCAGAACCUCCCUCACUGAGCACCUUGUGACCCCCACCCCUGCCUGCAAGAGAAAAACCCCCUUUGACUGUAAUUUUCCACUACCCGCCCAAAUCCUUUAAAACGGCCCCACCCCUAUCUCCCUUCGCUGACUCUUUUUUCGGACUCAGCCCGCUUGCACCCAGGUGAUUAAAAAGCUUUAUUGCUUA
RNAcentral lists this long non-coding RNA (629 nucleotides) under Homo sapiens (human). Its description in RNAcentral is "HSALNT0396798". Lineage: Eukaryota; Metazoa; Chordata; Mammalia; Primates; Hominidae. The record is from RNAcentral.